AGUGAACGCUGGCGGUAGGCCUAACACAUGCAAGUCGAACGGCAGCACAGUAAGAGCUUGCUCUUACGGGUGGCGAGUGGCGGACGGGUGAGGAAUACAUCGGAAUCUACUUUUUCGUGGGGGAUAACGUAGGGAAACUUACGCUAAUACCGCCUACGACCUACGGGUGAAAGCAGGGGAUCUUCGGACCUUGCGCGAUUGAAUGAGCCGAUGUCGGAUUAGCUAGUUGGCGGGGUAAAGGCCCACCAAGGCGACGAUCCGUAGCUGAUCUGAGAGGAUGAUCAGCCACACUGGAACUGAGACACGGUCCAGACUCCUACGGGAGGCAGCAGUGGGGAAUAUUGGACAAUGGGCGCAAGCCUGAUCCAGCCAUACCGCGUGGGUGAAGAAGGCCUUCGGGUUGUAAAGCCCUUUUGUUGGGAAAGAAAAGCAGCAGGUUAAUACCCCGCUGUUCUGACGGUACCCAAAGAAUAAGCACCGGCUAACUUCGUG
Molecule: ribosomal RNA, 492 nt
Filed under: uncultured bacterium
Lineage: Bacteria
Description: partial 16S ribosomal RNA
Rfam family: Bacterial small subunit ribosomal RNA
Source: RNAcentral